This 950-nucleotide ribosomal RNA is filed under the name Arcobacter sp. BBT30. RNAcentral describes it as "bacterial SSU rRNA". It matches the Rfam family "Bacterial small subunit ribosomal RNA", at positions 52 to 1033 of the family's 1533-position model. Lineage: Bacteria; Pseudomonadati; Campylobacterota; Epsilonproteobacteria; Campylobacterales; Arcobacteraceae. The record is from RNAcentral.
CCGUUACAAGCCUGUACGCUUCGCUAUCACGGUACAGCUAAGUGGCGCACGGGUGAGUAAUAUAUAUGUAAUGUGCCCUACAGAGGGGGAUAUCAGUUGGACACCACUGCUAACACCCCAUAUGCCCUUAAAACUAUCUUUGCCAGGGAAAUAUUUAUAGCUCUAGGAUCGGCCUGUACGGUAUCAUUUAGUUGGUGAGGUAAUGGCUCACCAAGACGAUGACGCCUAACUGGUUUGAGAGGAUGAUCAGUCACACUGGAACUGACACACGGUCCGGACUCCUACGGGAGGCAGCACUGGGGAAUAUUGCACAAUGGGGGAAACCCUGAUGCUGCACCGCCGCGUGAAGGAUGACCCAUUUCGGUGCGUAAACUCCUUUUAUAUAGGAAGAUAAUGACGGUACUAUAUGAAUAAUCCCCGGCUAACUCCGUGCCACCAUCCGCGGUCCUACCGAGGGCGCCCGCGUUACUCACAAUCACUGGGCGUAAAGAGCGUGUAGGCGGGUGAAUAAGUUUGAAGUGAAAUCCUAUAGCUCAACUAUAGAACUGCUUUGAAAACUGAUCACCUAGAAUAUGGGACAGGUAUAUGGAAUUUCUGGUGUAUGGGUAAAAUCCGUACAGAUCAGAAGGAAUACCUAUUGCGAAUGCCAUCUACUGGAACAUAAUUGACGCUGAGACGCGAAAGCGUGGGCAGCUCACUGGACUAUAUCCGCUGCUAAUCCACGCCCUAGACGAUGUAAACUAGUAGUUGUGACGCUGGACCUCGCAGUCAUGCACUAAGCACAUCUAGUGUACCGGCUGGUGCAGUACGGUCGCGCUAAUAAUAACUCCAAUGGAUAGACGGCACGCGCACACGCGCGGAGCAUGAGCUCAAUUGGACGAUACGCGGACCAGCUACCUGUACUGACUUAGUAUGACUUUUCACACAUCGAUAGCGUCUGCUGCAUAACU